Molecule: ribosomal RNA, 468 nt
Filed under: uncultured bacterium
Lineage: Bacteria
Description: partial 16S ribosomal RNA
Rfam family: Bacterial small subunit ribosomal RNA
Source: RNAcentral
GACGAACGCUGGCGGCGUGCUUAACACAUGCAAGUCGAACGGAAAGGCCCUGCUUUUGUGGGGUGCUCGAGUGGCGAACGGGUGAGUAACACGUGAGUAACCUGCCCUUGACCUUGGGAUAACUUCAGGAAACUGGGGCUAAUACCGGAUAGGAGCUCCUGCUGCAUGAUGGGGGUUGGAAAGUUUCGGCGGUUGGGGAUGGACUCGCGGCUUAUCAGCUUGUUGGUGGGGUAGUGGCUUACCAAGGCUUUGACGGGUAGCCGGCCUGAGAGGGUGACCGGCCACAUUGGGACUGAGAUACGGCCCAGACUCCUACGGGAGGCAGCAGUGGGGAAUAUUGCACAAUGGGCGGAAGCCUGAUGCAGCAACGCCGCGUGCGGGAUGACGGCCUUCGGGUUGUAAACCGCUUUCGCCUGUGACGAAGCGUGAGUGACGGUAAUGGGUAAAGAAGCACCGGCUAACUACGUG